CAUUACAGAUUGUAUGAAUAAAUUAGAAAAUAGAGAAAUAAGAAGUUCAGAACAACAGUCCUUCCAACCCAGUCCUCGCUGGUUCCUAAGUCUCCAGUCAGCACUGGGCCUCGACUCCUGACCACAUUGGGCUUCACCUUGGGAGACCACUCUGGAUUCACCUUGGAAGUCCUCACAGAGCCAAGAGACCGCCACUCUGGCUGUGUGCUGAGGCUGAGAGUCCGUAUCCAUGUUGAGGCCGGGAGUCACCAAAAAGAGGGAAAAACAAAGAAGAGGAAGAUGAAAUCAAUGAGCUCCAGCUGAAGUGUCCUACUCUGCCGCCAUCUUGGAGGUCAACCUUGCUGUGUUUUUGGCUGUUUCUCUUUCUGGGACAAGACUCCCCCCUCCACCACUCUUACCACAGAACACAUCCAAGUCUUGAAAACUGCAGAGGUUACAGGCACUGAACAAAUUGUCACGGAAAAAUAGGCAGUAAUGCUGACAGGAAGAAAAUGCAAGGAACAACAUGAACCUGCUACAUACCAAACCCGAAACCAGGCCUGAGCAGAACCGGUACAGGAGUAAACUCUACUAAUCUCUAUAAGGCAGCAUGUAACUACAAGUGCUACAUCUUGUAAAAGUUAUCUUGAAUCCACUCAAGUACGCCUCAAAGAUUACCAUCUUCACAUUCACUUUGCAUGGGGUUUUCAACAGACUCACUCAACACAUUGCCACCUGCGAGAUGCCCAGUCUCAAA
Non-coding RNA from Chiloscyllium plagiosum (whitespotted bambooshark), 736 nucleotides. The record is from RefSeq and is a predicted model, not a curated record. NCBI's taxonomy places the organism in Eukaryota, Metazoa, Chordata, Chondrichthyes, Orectolobiformes, Hemiscylliidae.